GUGGGGAAUAUUGCACAAUGGGCGCAAGCCUGAUGCAGCCAUGCCGCGUGUGUGAAGAAGGCCUUCGGGUUGUAAAGCACUUUCAGCGGGGAGGAAGGCGUUAAGGUUAAUAACCUUGGCGAUUGACGUUACCCGCAGAAGAAGCACCGGCUAACUCCGUGCCAGCAGCCGCGGUAAUACGGAGGGUGCAAGCGUUAAUCGGAAUUACUGGGCGUAAAGCGCACGCAGGCGGUCUGUCAAGUCGGAUGUGAAAUCCCCGGGCUCAACCUGGGAACUGCAUUCGAAACUGGCAGGCUAGAGUCUUGUAGAGGGGGGUAGAAUUCCAGGUGUAGCGGUGAAAUGCGUAGAGAUCUGGAGGAAUACCGGUGGCGAAGGCGGCCCCCUGGACAAAGACUGACGCUCAGGUGCGAAAGCGUGGGGAGCAAACAGGAUUAGAAACCCGUGUAGUCC
This 450-nucleotide ribosomal RNA is filed under the name uncultured bacterium. RNAcentral describes it as "partial 16S ribosomal RNA". It matches the Rfam family "Bacterial small subunit ribosomal RNA", at positions 354 to 796 of the family's 1533-position model. The record is from RNAcentral.